GUUGAAAGUUAAAUAAUUUUUUAUGAUUCCUAAAAGUGUAUCUGGAUAAGUAUCAUUCCCUGUGAAAAGGAAGUUUGAUUCAUACAUAUACCUCCAAAGUGGAUAGUUCAGAGAUACAAAAUCAAUCCAUCGUUAAUCUAAGCAAUGUAAUACUUUACAAUUUUUAAAACUUGUGUAGUAAUUAUAUGUAUAUGUAAUUUGCACCAGGUACUCAUAAACAAGUAUAAUUUAGGUUAAGAUUAAAAAUGUAAGCCAAAGAGGGCAGAGUACGAUGGCAGAAGAGAAGCCUACACUGUUCAUCCCCACUCCCCCACCGCACUGGAACACCAAAUUUUAACAACCAUUUGCACACAGAAAAGCACCAUCACACCGUCACAACAAACAAAAAUCAGGUCUGCAAAAACUACAGCAUUAUUGAGCUUGGGGCCCAAGUCCCUUCAAAUACCUGGAAAGCCUUCCCAAGAAGGACGGGAACAAAAAAGGCCAGACAUUGAAGACUACAAAAAAUAUCUAACUCUUUAAAGCCCAGACACAGACUAACAGCUACAAGCAUCAACAUUUUCUAGGAAAACACGACCUCACCAAAUAAACUAAAUAAGACACCAGGAACCAAUCCUGGAGAAACAGAGAUAUAUGAUCUUUCAGAUAGAGAAUUAAAAAUAGCUGUUUUGAGGAAACUCGAAGAAAUUCAAAAUUCUAUCAGCUAAAUUUAACAAAAAGAUGGAAAUAAGAAUCAAGAAGAAAUUCUAGAGUUGAAAACUGCUACUGACAUGCUGAAGAAAGUAUCAAAGUCUCUCAAUAGCAGAAUUGAUCAAGCAGAAGAAAGAAUUAGUGAGCUUGAAGACAGGCACAGUUAGAGGAGACAAUAAAAAUAAAAAUAAUAAAGCAUGCCUACAGGAUCUAAAAACUAGCCUUAAAGGGGUGAAUCUAAGAGCUAUUGGCCUUAAAGAAGAGGUAGAGAAAGAGAUGGAGGUAGAAAGUCUAGUCAAAGGUGUAAUAUCAGAGGAUUUCCCAAGUCUAGAGAAAGAUAUCAACAUUCAAGUACAAGAAUGUUAUGGAUUUAUCCCCCAAUAAAGCCUACCCCAAGGCAUUUAAUUAUCAAACUCCCAAAGGUUAAGGAUAAAGAAAGUACCCUAAAAGCAGCAGGAAAAAAGAAAUAAAUAAUACACAAUGGAGCUCCAAUAGAUCUGAAAGCAGACUUUCAUUUGGAAACAUUACAGGCCAGGAGAAAGUGGCAUGACAUAUUUAAAGUACUGAAGGAAUAACUGUAACCCUAGAGUAGUAUAUCUGGUGAAAAUACCCUUCAAGCAUGAAGGAAAAAUAAAGACCUUUCCAGACAGACAAAAGAGAUUUCAUUGACACCAGACCUAUGCUACAAGAAAUGUUAAAUGGAGUUCUUCAAUCUGAAAGACAAGGAUGUUAGUUAGCAAAAAGAAAUAAUCUGAAAAUAGAAAACUCACCGGGAAUAGUAAGCACACAGAAAAACACAGAAUAGUAUAACACUGUAAUACUGGUUUGUAAACUAUUCUUGUCUUAAGUAGAAAGACUAAAUGACAAACCAAUAAAAAUACUCACUACAACAACUUUUCAAGACAUAGGACAAUAAGACAUAAAUGGAAAAAACAAAAAGUUAAAAAGUGGAGGGAUAAAGUCAAAGUGUAGAGUUUUUAUUAGUUGUGUGUGUGUGUGUGUGUGUGUGUUUCUGUGUUUGUGUGUGUGUUUGCUUGUUUAUGCAAUCAGGGUUAAGUUGCCUUCAGUUUAAAAUAAUGGGUUAUAAGGUAUUAUUUACAAGCCUCAUGGUAACUUCCAAUUAAAAAAUUACAGCAAACACAAAAAGUAAAAAGCAAAAAACUAAAGUGCACCACCAAAGAAAAUCAACUGUAUUUAAAAGACAGAAACAAAGGAGAGAAAGAAGACUGAAAAACAACCAGAAAACAAAUAACAAAAGGGCAGCAGCAAGACCUUACUUAUCAGUAAUAACAUGAAAUGUAAAUGGACUAAAUUUUCCAAUUAAAAAAACACAGAAUGGCUGAAUCAACAAAAAACAAGACCCAGUGAUCUAUUGCCUACAUGAAACAUAGCUAACCUAUAAAAGUACACAUAGACUGAAAAUAAAGGGAUGGAAAAAGAUAUCCCAUGCCAAAGGAAACCAAAAAAGAGUAGGCAUAGCUAUAUUUAUAACAAAAAAAAUUUCAAGACAAAACUUGUGAGAAGAAAUGAGAAAAGUCAUUAUACACUGAUAAGAGUCAAUGCAGCAAGAAGAUAAAAUAAUUGUAAAUAUAUGUACACCCAAUACACGAGCACCCAGAUAUGUAAAGAAAAUAUGAUUAGAACCAAAGAGACAGAGGCCCCAAUAUAAUAAAGCCUGGAGACUUCAACAACCCACUUUCAGCACUUGACUAAUCUUCCAGACAGAAAAUCAGCAAAGAAACAUCAAACUUAAUUUGCACUUUAAAAAAUAAUGGACCUCAUAGAUAUUUACAGAACAUUUCAUCAAACAGUUGCAGAAUACACAUUCCUCUACUCAGCAUAUGGAUCAUUCUCAAAGACAAACCUUAUGUUAUGUCACCAAGCAAGUCUUAAAACAAUAAAAAAUUGAAAUAAUAUUAAGCAUCUUCUCUGACCACAAUAGAACAUAACUAGAAAUCAAUAAUAAAAUGAAUUUUGGAAAUGAUACAAGUGCAUAGAAAAUAAGCAAUAUGAUCCUGAAUAACCAGUGGGUCAAUAAUAAAAUUAAGAAAUAAAUUGAAAAAUUUCUUGAAACAAAAGAAAAUGAAAACACAACAUAGCAAAACCUGUAAGAUACAGCAAAAACAGUAGUUAGAGGCAAGUUUAUAGCUGAGUGCCUACAUCAACAAAGAAUAAAAACAUCAAAUAAAGAACUUUAAUGGUGCAUCCUGAAAAAAUAAGAAAAGCAAGAGAAAACUUAACUCAAAAUUAGAAGGAAAGAAAUAAUAACGAGCAGAGCAGAGAUAAAUAAAUUUGACAUGAAUAAAAUAAUACAAAAUAACAAAACAAAAAGUUGUUUUUUCGAAAAGAUAAACAAAAUUGACAAACCUUUAGGCACAUUAACUAAUAAAAAAGAGAGAAGAUUCAAAUAAAUAAAAUCAGAUUUGGAAAAAAAAAGACAUUUGAGGUGGUCAGAUUGCUUGAGCUCAGGAGGUGGAGACCAGCUUGGGCAACAUGAUAAAACCUCAUCUCUACAAAGGUUACAAAAGUUAGCUGGGUGUGGUGGUGCAUACCUGUAGUCCUAGCUAUUCAAGAGUCUGUGGUGGGAGGAUCACUGGAACCUGAGAGAUUGAGGCUGAAAGUGAGCUGAGAUUGUGCCACACACUCCAGCCUGGGUGACAAAGUGAGACCCUGUCUAAAAUAAGAAAGAAAGAAAGAAAAAAGAAAGAAAUGAAGGAAGGAAGAAAGGAAGGAAGGAAGGAAGGAAGGAAGGAAGGAAAAGGAGACAUUACAACUAAUGCCUCAGAAAUUCAAAGGAUUGACCGGGUGCAGUGGCUCACGCCUGCAAUCCCAGCACUUUGGGAGGCCAAGGCAGGCAGAUCACGAGGUCAGGAGUUCGAGACCAGCCUGACCAACAUGGUAAAACCCCGUCUCUACUAAAAAUACAAAAAUUAGCUGGGCGUUGUGGUGCGCGCCUGUAAUCCCAGCUACUCAGGAGGCUGAGGCAGGAGAAUCACUUGAACCCAGGAGGUGGAAGUUGCAGUGAGCCGAGAUCGUGCCACUGCACUCCAGCUUGGGUUACAGAGUGAGACUCCAUCUCAAAAAAAAAAAAAAAAAAAAAGGAAUUCAAAGGAUCAUCGGAUCCUUGGUGAUUACUAUGAACGACUAUGUGCCAAUAAAUUUCAAACUCUGGAAUAAAUGAAUAAAUUGCUAGACACAUACAACCUACAAAGAUAGAACCAUGAAGAAAUCUAAAACCCAACCAGACCAACAACAAGUAAUGAGAUCACAGUUAUAAUAAAUAGUCUCCCAGCAAUGAAAAGCCCAGAACCUAAUGGCUUCACUGCUGAAAUCUAGCAAACAUUUAAAGAACUAAUGCCAAUCCAACUCAAACUAUUCUGUAAAAUAGAGGAGAAGAGAAUGCUUCCAAAUUCUUUCUAAAAAGCCAGCAUUACCCUAAUAACAAAACCAGCCAGACACAUUGAAAAAGGAAACUACAGGUCAGUAUCAAUGAUGAAUAUUGAUAUAAAAACCCUCAACAAAAUAUUAGGAGACCAAAUUCUACAAUAUAUUAAAGAGAUCAUUCAUCAUGACCAAGUGUGAUUUAUCCCAGGGAUGCAUGGAUGGCUCAACAUACACAAAUCAAUCAACGUAGUAUAUAAUGUCAACAGAAUGAUACAAAAGAAUUUUAAAAAAUAAUAAAUUAAAAACAGAAUGAAAGAUAAAAAUUAUAUGUUCAUUUCAAUUGAUGCUAAAAAAGCAUUUGAUCAAGUUCAGCAUCCCAUUAUUAUGAAAACCCUCAAAAAAACUGCAUAUAGAAGGAACAUACCUUAAUAUAAUAAGAGCCAUAUGCAACAGACCCACAGCCAUUAUCAUGCUGAAUGGGGAAAAACUGAAAGCCUUUCCUCUUAGAUCUGAAACAUUACAAGGAUGCAUGUUUCAUCAUUGUUAUUCAGCAUAGUACUGGAAGUGGUAGCUAGAGCACUCAAACAAGAAAAAAAAAAAAAAGAAAAAGAAAGGACAUCCAAAUUGGAAAGAAAGCAAUCCAAUUAUCCUUCUUUUAAGAUGAUAUGAUCUUAUAUUUGAAAAACUGUAAAGACCCCACAAGAAAACAAUCAGAACUGAAAAAACAAAUUCAAUAAAGUUGCAAGAUACAAAAUCAACACACAGGAAUCAGUGACAUUUCUAUAUGCUACUGCAAACGAUCUGAAAAAUUACAUGCUGCGGUAACUCAGUAGCAUUUCUAUAAGCUACAGUGAACAAUCUGAAAAAUAACUAAAAAAUGCAUACUUAUUUACGAUGACCACAAAUAAAAUUAAAUAAUUAGAAACCAAAAAUAGUGAAUGAUUUUUAACAGUGAAAACUAUAAAACACUGAUGAAAUAAAUUGAAAAAGCCACAGAAACUGGAGCGAUUCCAUAUACAUGGAUUAGAAUAAUCAAUAUUGUUUAAAUGUCUGUACUACUCAAAGUAAUAUACAGAUUCAGCACAAUUCCUAUGAAAACACCAGUAACAUUCUUCACAGAAAUGGGAGGAAAAAAUAAUAAAAUUUAUAUGCAAUUACAAAAGACCCAGAAUAGCCAAAGACAUACUGAGCAAAAGGAACAAAACAGGAGGAAUUAUAUUAGCUGACUUCACUACAGAGCUAUAGUAACUAAAAUGUCAUGGUACUUGCAUAAAAGCAGACACAUAACCGAAUGGAACAGGAUAAAGAACCCAGAAACAAAUUCACACACCUACACUGAACUCAUUUUUAACAAAGUUGCCAGGAAGAUACUUGGGAGAAAGGACAGUCUCUUCAGUAAACGGUGCUGGUAAUACUAGAUAUCCAUAUGCAGAAGAAUAAAACUGGACCCCUAUCUCUCAAAGUAUACAAAAAUCAAAUACAAAUGGAUUGAAGACUUAAAUCUAAGACAUUAAACUAUAAAAUUACUAUAAUACAAGGAAACAUUGAGAAAGCUCUCUGGGAUAUUGGUCUUGAGCAAUAGCCUACAAGUACAGGAAACCAAAGCAAUAAUGGACAAAUGGGAUCACAUCAAGUUAAAAGCUUCUCCAUGGCAAAGAAACAACCAAUAAAGUGAAAAGACAACCCUCAGAAUAGGAGAAAAUAUUUGGAAACCACCCAUCUGUAUUAGGUCAUUCUCAAAUUGCUAUAAAGAAAUAUCUGAGACUGGGUAAUUUAUAAGAGAGGAGGAAUUAUAGACUUGUUGUUCUGCUGGCUGUACAGAAAGGAUAGAGGAAUCUGUUUCCGGGGAGGCCUCAGGAAGUUUCCAAUUAUGGCAGAAGGCAAAGGCAGAGCAGCCAUAUCACAUAGUGAAAGCAAAAACAAAUGAGGGGGGCACACAAUUUUAAACAACCAGGUCUCACAAUAACUCACUCACUGCCUCAAGGACAGCAUCAAUUCUCUCAAAUGCUAAACCAUUAAUAAGGAUGCCCCUAUGACCGAAUCACCUCGCACUAGGGCCCACCUCCAGCUCUUGGUAUUAUGUUUCAACAUGAGAUUUGGGUGGGCACAAAUAUCCAAACUAUAUCACCAUCUGAUAAGGAAUUAAUAACCGGAAUAUAUAAGAAACUCAACAAUUUUAUAGAAAAAGAAAUCUAAUGAUCUAGUUACAGCACAGGCAAAAGACCUGAAUAGACAUUUCCAGAAAGAAGACAUAAAAAUGUCAAGCAGGCAUAUGAAAAGGUGCUUAACAUCAUUUAUCAUCAGAGAAAUGCAAAUCAACAAUACAAUGAAAUAUCAUCUCAACCCAGUUAAAAUGGCUUUUAUGGAAAAUCAGGCAAUAGCAAAUGGUGUCUAGGAUGUGGAGAAAAGGAAACUCCUGUAUACUGUUGGUGCAAUUGUAAGUUAGAACAACCACUAUGAAGAACAGUUUGGAUGUUCCUCAAAAAACUAGAAAUUGGGCCACCAUAUGAUCCAUCAAUCCCACUUCUGGGUAUAUACACCCCCGAAAAAGGAAAUGAGUAUAUAAAACAGAUAACUGAACUCCCAUGUUUGUUGCAGCACUCUUCACAACACCUAAGAUUUGGAAGCAAACUGAGGGGCCAUGAACACAUGAAUAAAGAAAAUGUGGUACAUAUACAAAAUGAAGUACUAUUCAUCCAUAAAAAAUGAAAUUCUGUUAUUUGCAACAACAUGGAUGGAAGUAGAGGUCAUCAUGUUUAGUCAAAUAAGCCAGGCACAGAAAGACAAGCACUGCAUGUUUUCAUUUAUUUGUAGGAUCUAAAAAUUAAAACAAUUGAACUCAUGGAGAUAGAGAAUAGAAGAAUGGUCACUAGAAGCUAGGAAGGGUAGUGAUUGGGGGAAGGUGGAGAUAUUUAAGGGGCCUAAAAAAUAGUUAGAGAAAAUGAAUAAGGUCUAUUGUUUGAUAGCAUAACAAGGUGAUUAUCAUCAAUAAUAAUUAAUUGUACAUUAUAAAAUAAGCAAAAUAAUAUAAUUAGAUUGUUUGUAACACAAAGGAUAAAUGUUUGAGGGAAUGGAUAUCUAAUUUUUCCAUAAGGUGAUUAUUAUGCAUUGCAUGCUUGUACCAACAUAUCUCAUGUAUCCCAUAAAUAUAUACAUCUACUAUGUACUGUCAAAAAUUUUUAAAAAGGACAAAGGACAAAAUCUACAACAUACUGCAUGAUUAUAUUUUCAGCUAUUCGAAGUGCACAUCAUUUUAACAAAGGUGCCAAGAAGAUACUUUGGAGAAAGGACAGUCUCUUCAAUAACAGGUGCUGAUAAUACUAGAUGUCCAUAUGCAGAAGAAUAAUGGAAGUUCUAAUGAAAGGACAAAACAACAUAGCUACUUUUCAAAGCAAUUCACCUACUUAUUAUAAAUUUUAACAUUCAUCUGCCAUAUAACUCAGUAAUGAUACAGCUAGAUAUCUACCUAAGAGAAAAAUAUAAUAUUCACACUACAACAUUUCAUUAAAAAUUAUGGCAGCUUUAUUGAUAGUCACAAAAACAUGAAAAUGACCAGUGCAUAGAUAAACAGGGGUACAUCCAUACAAUGGAAUAAUAAUUAGCAAUACAAGAAAUAAACUAUUGAUUUGUGCAACAACAUUAAUUCAUCUAAAAUGCAUUGUGCUAAGUAAAAAGAAAAGCCAGACUUAGAAAAGCUGCAUAUUAUAUGAUUUUCUUCAUAUGACACCUUAGAAAAAAAAUUAUGGAAAUUGAAAACAGAUUAGUGCUUGCCAAGGGCUGUGGGAUAGGGGUAGAGGUUGACUAGAAGAAAGCAGCACGAAGGAAUUUUGGAUGUGAUGGAAAUGUUUUAUAUGGAACAUUGGUGGUGGAUACAUGAUUCUAAGCAUUUGUUGAAAGUUAUAGGAUUGUAUACCAGAAAGACUACAAUUUUCUAUGCAUAAAGUUUUAAAAAGUCAAAUUGAAAAUAUAUGGAGGAGCCACCACAUCUGGCCAAACGUAUCUAACUGUAAUUAUGUAUCCUUUUACCAACAUCUCCCCAUUCCUUUUCCCAACUAACAACCUGAGCCUCUACAAACCAUCAUUCUACUCUCUACUUCCAUGUGAUCAGCUUUUCUAGAGCCUACAUGUGAGAGCAUGUGGUAUUUGUAUUUCUGUUCCUUGCUUAUUUCACUUAACAUAACGUCCUUCAGGUUAAUCCAUGUGAUCACAAAUGACAUUCUUAGGCCAUAAUAUUUCACUGUGUAUAUAUACAUUUCUUUAUCCAUUCAUCCACUGAUAGACAGUUUGUUUCCAUAUCUUGACUAUUAUUCGAUAAACAUGGGAGUGCAGAUGCCUCUUUGACAGACCAAUUUCAAUUUUUUGGAUAUAUACCCAGUAGUGGGAUUACUGGGUUAUAUGAAAGUUCUACUUUUGGCGGGGUGUGGUGGCUCACACCCGUAAUCUCAGCACUCCAGGAAGCCAAGGAGGGUGGAUCACCUGAAGUCAGGAGUUCAAGACCAGCCUGGCCAACAUGGUGAAACCCUGUCUCUACUAAAAAUACAAAAAGUAGCUGAGCGUGGUGGUGGACACCUGUAAUCCCAGCUACUCCAGAGGCUGAGGCAUGAGAAUCACUUGAACUCAAGAGGUGGAGGUUGCAGUGAGCCAAGAUGUCGCCACUGCACUCCAGCCUGGGCAAUAGGAGUGAAACUCUGUCUCAAAAAAAAAAAAAAAAAGAAAAAAGUUCUACUUUUAAUUUUUUGAAAAACCCCUAUACUGUUUUUCACAAUGGCUGUGCUAAUUUACAUUCUAACUGGGGUGAGAUAUAAAAGCCAUAUACAACAAACCUAUAGCCAACAUCAUAAUGAAUGGGAAAAAGUUGAAAAUUUUUUAAGAUUCGAAACAAUAUAAGGAUGCCCACUUUCACUACUUCUAUUCAACAGAGAACUGGUGUCCUAGUCAGAGAAAUUAGGCAAGAGAUAAAAAUAAAAGGCAUUAAAAUUAGAGAAGAGGAAGUUAAAUUGUUCCUGUUUGCUGAUGGCAUAACCCUAUAUAUUGAAAACUCUAAGCACUCCACUAAAAAGCUGUUAGAAUUAAUAAAUGAAUUCCAUAAAAUUAUGUUACAAUGUUAACACACAAAAAUUAGUUGCAUUUGUGUACAAUAGCUAACUAUCUGAAAGGAGAAUAAAACAAUCCCAUUUACAGUAGCUACAAAAAAUACCUAUGAGAAAACGUGACCAAGGAGGUAUAAGAAAAAUGUAGAAGAUACAAAUAAAUAAAAAGAUAUUCUAUGCUCAUGGAUUAAAACAAUUAAUAUUAUUAAAAUGUCCAUACUACACAAAGCAAUUUACAGUUUCAAUGGAAUCCCUAUAAAAAUACCAAUGACAUUCUUCAUGGAAAUAGAAAAAAAAAAAUCCUAAAAUUUAUCUGGAACCAAAAAAGACCCCAAAUAGUCAAAGCAAUCUUGAGCACAAAAUCAAAGCUAAAGUCAUGACACUACCUGAUUUCAAAGUAUACUACAAACGUAUAGUAACAAAAAGAGCAUGGUACUGACAUAAAGAUAGAUACAUACACUAAUGGAAUAAAAGAGAACCCAGAUAUAAAUCCAGGCAUUUACAGCCAACUAAUUAUUAAUAAAGUUACCAAGAACAUGCAAUGGGGAAAGGACAAUCUUUUUCAUAAAUUAUGUUGGUGAGAGGUGAAGCCGGCUGGGCUUCUGGGUCAGGUAAGGACUUGGAGAACUUUUUUGUCUAGCUAAAGGAUUGUAAAAACACCAAUCAGUGCUCUGUGUCUAGCUAAAGGUUUGUAAACACACCACUCAGCACUCUGUAAAAACGCACCAAUCAGCACUCUGUGUCUAGCUAAAGGUUUGUAAACGCACCACUCAGCGCUCUGUAAAAAUGCACCAAUCAGCGGUCUGUGUCUAGCUAAAGGUUUGUAAAUGCACCAAUCAGCACUCUGUAAAAAAUGGACCAAUCAGCAGUCUGUAAAAUGGACCAAUCAGCAGGAUGUGGGUGGGUCCAAAUAAGCAAAUAAAAGCUGGCUACCCAAGCCAGCAGCAGCCACCUGCUCAAGUCCCCUUCCACGUUGUAGAUGUUUUGUUCUUUCGCUCUUCAUAAUAAAUCUUGCUGCUGCUCACUCUUUGGGUCUGCACUACCUUUAUGAGCUGUAACACUCACUGUGAAGGUCUGUGGCCUCACUCCUGAAGUCAGCGAGACCACGAACCCACCGGGAGGAAAAAACAACUCCGGACAUGCCACCUUUAAGAGCUGUAACACCGCGAAGGUCUGCAGUUUCACUCCUGAAGUCAAGCGAGACCACAAACCCACCAGAAGGAAGAAACUCCAGACACAUCUGAACGUCUAAAUGAACAAACUCUGGACACACCAUCUUUAAGAACUGUAACACUCACAGCGAGGGUCCGCGGCUUCCUUCUUGAAGUCAGUGAGACCAAGAACCCCCAAGAAGGAACCAAUUCCGGACACAUUGGGAAAACUAGACAUCCACAUGCAGAAACAUUAUUAUUAGUUUUGGGUCUUACAUUUAAGUAUUUAACCCAUUUGGAGUUAAUUUUAGUGUAUGAUGAAGAUAAGGGUCUAAUUUCUUUUUUCUGCCUUAUUUGUUGAGACAUAGUUUAUGUUGAGUAAAAGUAUGUCUCAACAAAUAUAUAGCAUAUAAUUCUAUGAAUUUGAAAAAUGCAUAUAAUUGUGUAACCACAAACAAAGUUAGGAUAUAGAAUAAUUUUAUGAUAUAGAAUAAUUUUACUGAGGUGAACAAGUCCAUGUUGUCCCUUUGCAGUGAAGAAAAUCAGAAUAUUUUAUUCUAAAAUCAUAUUUUUUGACAUAUUCUGAUAUGGCUCUUUAGAAAGCCAGCAAACCCAAGUAGCCCUGCAAAGCUGUCUUGUGGGGGAAAAUUUGCAUCUGCAUUGAUGUAGCCAGGCUUUCUCUGAGGCAUUUCCUCAUCCAGGUCUAGGAAAGAUUAACUGAGAACCUGACACCUUUAAAGUUCUGAAAGAAACAUUUACCAUUAUUCUCUCUGUGGGCUGCUACCUGUGAGGUUUCAUUUCCAGAACAAGACCACCUUUAAUAAACAAGCUUUCUCCUUUCUCCCUCCCAUAUCCUGUCUUGCCACUAUAGCCAAAUUUUCCACCAUAACCUGGUUUUGGCCAUGAUCAUGUUACUGGAAAGUGUGUAGUCCUCAGUUCCUGGCUUCUUGGAAGAAAGAAUUCAGCCAAAAGACAAUUUAGCAAAGUCAGCAGAGUUUAUUGAAGGAAAAUUAAGUAGCCUCCAAGAGAGUAGAUGGCUGGAUGGGCUGGAAACAGCCCUGAGAGUUCUGUGUUGCAGUUUUUGUUAUGUUGGACUUUUCUUUAAGCUCCUUCCUCUAUCUUAAGUCUCCACCUUUGUCUUCAUCUAGCUUCCCACUUCUGUCUUCAGUCUCUGCUUUGUCCCCACCUAGUCCCUGCCCAGGUUUGUGAGAUUCUCCCUUACUGUCAGUUAAUGCACAUUCAAAGGGCCCUGAGAUCAAUACAAAUCCUACCCAAUGGCAGCACUCUCAUUACUGCCUCCUCAGGAAGAUCAUACAAUGGUCAAAUCUGCACUUAUUGUACUUACAUAUUUCUUAGGAAUGUCCCUUUUCUCCCACUUAUCAGCAUGGAGAUAGCUACAUUAUGACAAUUAAGCCACAGAAUAAGUGAUUACAGAGUGUCUUAAGAGAUGUUUCUGGGCAUUCCUUUCCACAUAGGUAUUGUCCCUCCCCUCUGCUUAUAUUUAGCACGCAUGUUUCAGGUGGUCUCUAGGGCAUGAGAUUUUCCAGAGCUUUCUCUCCCAGGGGCUCCCUUUCCUGCUCAUGUCUAACUAUCUGCCUACUACUCUCUGAGCCCUCAUUCUAUCUGUAACCUUACUUCCGCAUUCCACUGGGGUGUUGGGGUAACACUCUGUAAUUCUCCCCCAUGUAUACAUUAAUACAUUUAUAUUGCUUUUCUCCAAUUAAUCUGCCUUCACACAGCUGAUUUUUUAAUGAAAUAUCAGAGAGUGAAGGGGAAGUUUUCCUAUAGCUCCUACAGUAGUCAACUCAUCCUGCUACCCUCCACUUCCCCCACCUGCCUCUGAAAACCACAGAUCUGCUCUCCAUUUCUAUAUUUUGCCUUUUAAAAAAUAUUAUAAUAAUAUCAUAUAGCAUGUUGCCUUUUAAGUCCUAAUUUUUUACUCUUAUUAAGGAGUUUGAGAGGUAUCAUGUUAUAUGUAUAAUUAUUUUUUUUCUUUUUAUUACUGAGUAUCAUUCCAUCAUGUAAAGUUACCCCUGUUUGUUUAUACAUUCCCCAGUUGAAACAAUUUCAGUUGUUUCCACUUUGGGGUGGUUACGAAUAAAGCUGCUCUAAGUAUUCAUAUACAGGUUUUUGUAUGGACAUAAGUAUUCACUUAUAUGAAUUGUCCAAAUAACUGGGUAUUUGCCCAAGUGAACCACUUGUGAAAUUAUAUUCACAUAGGUGAAUCUAACUUUUCCACCAGGAAAGUUAGAAUGUUUCAGUUGCUCCAUGUCCUUACAAGUUUAUAUUCAAUUUUUUUCUUGUUGUUUUGUUAUGCUUUGCUUUAGUCAUUUCAAUGAGUUUAUAACACUAUUGCAAUGUUAUUUAAUUCAGUGUCAUUUAAUUGAGAGUUUCUCAAUGAAUUAGUAAUGGAAAGAAAGUAUCUCAAAACAAUAAAGGCUACACAUGACAAAUUCACAGCUAACAUUGUAUUAAAUGGAGAAAAGCUAAAAGCUUUUUGUUUAAGAACUGGAACAAGACAAAGAUACCUACUAUCGCCACUCUUAUUCAACAUAGCACUGGAAGUCCUGGCAAUUUAGACAAGAGAAAGAAAUAAAGAGCAUCCAAAUCAGAAAGUAAGAAGACAAAUAUUCCCUGUUUGCAGAUAGUUUGAUCUUAUAUAUUAAAAAACCCAACAACUUUACCAAAACAAGUCUUAGAACUUAUAAACAAAUUUAGCAAACUUGUAGGAUACAAAAUAAGCAUACAAAAAUUAGCAGCAUUUCUAUACAUAAAUAAUCAUCCAGCUGAAAACAAAUCAAUAAAGCAAUUCCAUUUAUAAUAGCUGCAAAAAAACCCUAAGAAUAAAUUUAACCAAGGAGGUGAAAGGUCUUUACAAGGAAAAUUAUAAAACACUGAUGAAAGAAAUUGAAGGGGAUAAAAACAAAUAAAAAUACAUCCCAAGCUCAUGGAACAGAAGUAUCAAUAUGAUUAAAAUAACCAUACUACCCCUACCCAAAACAAUCUAUGGAUUCAAUGCAAUACCUACCAAAAUACCAAUGAUGUUCUUCCCAGAAAUAGUUAAAAAAAAAAAAAAUCCUAAAAUUGCUGCUGGACCACAAAAGACCCUGAAAAACCAAAGCAACGUGAACAAAAGCAACAAAGCAGGAGUAUCACACUAUCAGACUUCAAAAUAUGCUACAAAGCUAUAGUAACCAAAACAGUAUGGUACUGGCAUAAAAACCAGACUCAUAGACCAUUAGAACAUAAUAGAGAGCCCAUAAAUUAAUCCACAUAUCUAUAAGCAACUGAUUUUUGAUAAAGCCACCAAGAACAUUCAAUAGGGAAAGGAUAGACUCUUCAAUAAAUAAUGAUAGUACUCAUUUAAGGUAACUUUUGGAGAUAGUAGGAGGCAUGGGUUGACCCUUUUUUUUGAAAACAUAUGAUAUAAAAUUGUUCCAGCACUUUUUGUUGUAUAUACUAAACUUUUUAUUCAUUAAUUGCCUGUGAAUCUUUAGCAAUACAUCUAUGCAUGGGUUUAUUCCUUGACUUUAUAUUCUGUUUUAUUGAUAUAUGUGUCAAUUCUUUUGUCAAUACCACAUUGUCUUAAUAAAAGUAGCUUUAUAUUGUCUUAAAUCAAGUAGUAGGAGCCCUCAAACUUUCUUUUCAUUUUAAAAAAAAUAUUUUGGCCAUUCUGCUUCUUCUACCCUUCCAUAUGACUUUUGAAUCCAAUUUGAUUUUAACUUUAAAAAAUAUGCUACUGGGAAUUUGUUUGUGAUUUCAUAGAAUCUACUAAUCACUUUAGGAAGAAUUGAUAUCUUAGUAAUACUCAGUUUUUCUUUCUAUGAACAUGAUACAGCUCUUAAUUUAUGUAUUUUGUUUUUGUUUUUGUUUUAUAGAUUUCACCAUAAAAUAUGUGUACAUCUUUUGUUAAACUUGUACUUAAGUAUUUUGUUUUUAUUUUUUGGUGUUAGUUUAAGAGUACUUUCUAAAAUUUUUAAUUUCUGGUUUUAUUAUAGUACAAAAAUACAAUAGAUUUGUAUAUACUGACCACGUAUCAUGAAACCUGGCUAAAGAUACGUAUUAGUUCUGAUAACUCUUAUAAGGCAGUUUUAUUUUUGCCAUUUCUGUCUGGAUGGCUUGUUUGUAUGUAUGUACAUAUGUAUGUAUAUAUGUAUGUAUGUAUGUAUUUAGACUUAUUGAACUAGAUAGGACUUCCGGUGUAACGUUGGAGUGGUGCAAAUGGUCAUCCUUGUAUUGCUUAUAACCAUAGUGAAUAAGCAUUCCAUCUUUGGCCAUUUAGUGUGAUGUCAGUUGCAUGUUUUUGUAGAUAUUCUUUAUAAUCUUAACAUGUUUCCUUCUAUCUUGUUUGCUCAGAUUUUACCACCAAUGAAUAUUGAACUCUUAUCAAAUAAAUGAUUUCUCUAAAACAAUUGUGUUGAUGACAUGGUUUUAUAUGUUUGAUUUGUUUAUAUGUGAUUUGUAUUCAUUGAUUUUUAAACAACUUUAUUGAGGUAUAUUUUUCAAAUCACAAAAUUUACUUAUUUUAAGUGUACAAUUCGAUGAUUUUAAGUAACUUUACUACAUGGUACAAAAUCAGCUUUCGAACAUUUUCAUCUCUCAAUAAGACUCAGUGUGCCCUUUAAAAUGAAUCCUUAUUCCAUUUCUCAGCCCCAGACAAGCACUAAAUUACUUUCUGUCUCUAUAAAUGUGACUUUUCUAGAUAUUUUAUAUAAAUGGAGUCACACAGUAUGUGGUCCUCUGUGUAUGGAUUCUUUCACUUACCAUGAUGUUUCCAAGAAUCAUCCAUGUUUUAGUUAUAAAUGAAUACCAUUCUUUUUCAUGGCUGAAUAAUAUUCAAUUGUACAGAUAAACUCUAUUGUGUCCAUCCAUUCCUCAGAUGGUAGACAUGUGUAUUCUUUUCACUUUUUGGAAAUUAUGAAUACUGCUGUUAUGAACAUUGCUAUACAAGUUUUUGUGUGAAUAUAUGUUUUUCUUUUUUUGGGGGGUGUACACAUCGGAGUAAAAUUACUGAGUCAAAUGUUGAUUCUAUUUAAAUUUUUGAGGAACUGCCAAAUUAUUUUCUACCACGUAUGUACAACUCUACAUUCCCAUCAUAAAUAUAUAAUGUUGAAUUUUUGCCAAUGUUUGUUGUUAUCCCUUUCUUUGAUUAUAACCAUUCUAUUGUGUGUAAAGUAGUAUCUCAUUAUGGGUUGUCGAAUUUGCAUUUCCCAAACGAUUAAUGACAUUGUCUUUUCAUGUCUUUUUGGCCUUUUGUAUAUCUUCUUUAAGGAAAUACAUAUUCAAAUCUUUUGUUCCUUUUAUAAUUAAAAUAUUGUUUUAUUGUUGAGUUAUAAGCAUUUGUAUAUAUUCUUGAACUAGACUUUUAUUAAGUAUAUGUUUUGACAGUGUGUUCCCUCAGUCUGUCAAUCAUCUUUUGAGUUUCUUUAUAGUGUUCUUUGAAGUAUGAAAAUACUUAAUUUGAUGAAGUAAAAUUUAUUGAUUUUUACUUUGGCUGCUUGUGCUUUAAGUGUCUUAUCUAAGAAACCUAAAAAACUGUUGCCUAAUCCAAGGUCACAAAAAUUUACAUCCAUGGUUUUUUCUCACAGCUGUAUAGUUUUAGGACUUACAUUUAGUUUUUUGAUACAUUUUUUGCUUAAAUUUUGUAAAUAAUAGGAAGUCCCAGAACCAUUUGUUGAAAAAGAUCACCCCCUUCUCCUAUUAAAUUCCUGUAAAUUAAUCGACUAUAAAUAUGAGGGUUUAUUUCUGAAAGCACGAAUCCAGUAUAGCUUUCUCCCUUACCCUUAUAUUUACUAUUAUUGUCAUAAAAGUUAUAUUUCUAUACAUUCUGAGCCCAUCAACAAAGUUUUAUACUUAUGACUUUUAUGUAUUUGUCUUAAUUCAGAUAGAUUUAUGAACAAAAAUAUAUUUAUACUGCC
Molecule: long non-coding RNA, 16233 nt
Filed under: Homo sapiens (human)
Lineage: Eukaryota; Metazoa; Chordata; Mammalia; Primates; Hominidae
Description: HSALNT0284449
Source: RNAcentral